Mastomys coucha (southern multimammate mouse) is the source of this 1339-nucleotide long non-coding RNA. RefSeq lists it as uncharacterized. The transcript is spliced from 7 exons. NCBI's taxonomy places the organism in Eukaryota, Metazoa, Chordata, Mammalia, Rodentia, Muridae. The record is from RefSeq and is a predicted model, not a curated record.
CUCCCCGCCGAGCGGCCUGGGCCACGGUCCGCCUACAGCGCAGCCGCCACCCAGGGGUCUCGGAGAGCUGACGUCACAGCUGCAGCAGCAGCCCCGGGAAGGGCGGGGCCUGGGCCGAGUGGGCGGGGACACGGCGACGUGCGGAGGCGGGGAUUGGCCGCCGGGCGGUUGCUCCGCCCCCCUGCGAAGUGGGCUGGGAAGUCCGGGCUUCCUCCAGCCGAGGGUUUCAGCCCCCUUCUGCAUCCUUCUAUCAAGAAAUUUGGCAUAAUGAAGAGUGCUGUGUAACCAGAUGUGUGCCUCAGAAGAACAGAAAACUCAGCGAGUGGUAAUGGAAAGCCUUUUGGAGGAAUGUGUGUAUGGCACUUUACUUCGCUUUGCAAACUCGUCUGCCCUGCUUUGGCAAAGGUCCUGUGUACCAGGAAAAUAUCUUUGUGGCAGGCAAACGGAAGUGGUUUGCCACCUGUUGAGGCAGCAGGGAGUGGAAGUAAGAUCUAGAGACUACCGACUUAAACCAUCAUCUACAAGGCCAGGCCCCGGAUGGAAAAACUGUGCCCUGCUUGAUCAAACGAGGCAGUUCUGAGUGGUCUCCUUUUCGAAUGAGAAGACUGAGGAAAGAAUGAGAAACUAAUAGGACCAGGCCAGAAAAGGAGGGCAGGAGCACCACAAGAUUACUGGAGCAGACUCCUGGGUGCAUCUUUGAAGUCAUUUCCAUAGGUGAUGAGAUCCUGAAGGCUCUGACCCCUUUACGGAUUCAUAAUAUUAUGGCAUUAAGGAUACAAAAUGUUAAGGUGGCAGGCUUUCAGCCCCAAGUGCCUGGUAUCAGCAUGAGUAAGAAGUAACAGUCUCAGAAGGAGUAAGCUAAAACCUUCAGAUAUGAUGAGGGAUGUUAGUAGUUCUUUAUAAUGUAUGUGAGACAUGAAGCAGAAAGGACCACCACAGGCUUAGGAAGAGCCCGGAAGCUUAAAGGCAACCAAGCAGCACAGGAGGAGGCCUCAGGGCCUUGUUCUACUGAAGAAGCACCAGAAGGCUGGGAAUUGCACCAGCAGCUAGGGCCGUGCUCUCGAUGCGUGUGCCUGUGAAGAAAAGCAAUACCAAAGACGCUGAUGUUCCAAAUGUACGUACUGUUUGGAUCCUGUCGUGACCUGAAGGAGGACUGCAAGCCUGCAAAAUUCUAUGAGAUGGCGUCUUGACUGAAUACAAUACGAUGUUAAUGAUUCAUCAAUCUUAACAGGCCUCUUUAGGGAAUGAGCAAAAGAGACUCUCUUAUUUCCUAUAAUCUUAAUCUUAAAUUUUUAUCUAUAAUCUAAGAUUAAAUAUAUGUGUAAUAUGCAGAAAAAUA